Molecule: unclassified non-coding RNA, 142 nt
Filed under: soil metagenome
Description: partial internal transcribed spacer 1
Source: RNAcentral
CUAGAGUGUCGGCCUUGCUGCCUAUGCUCUACCCAUUGUCUUUUGCGUACCUUAGUUUCCUCGGCGGGCUCGCCUGCCGAUUGGACAAUUCUCAAACCAUUUUGUAGUUGCAAUCAGCGUCUAGAAAACAAAUAAUUAGUUA